UUUGAUGCGGUGCUAUACAUGCAGUCGAGCGGACCUCUUCGGAGGUCAGCGGCGGACGGGUGAGUAACACGUGGGCAACCUGCCUGUAAGACUGGGAUAACUCCGGGAAACCGGAGCUAAUACCGGAUAACCUUUUGAACCGCAUGGUUCAAAAUUGAAAGACGGUUAUGCUGUCACUUACAGAUGGGCCCGCGGCGCAUUAGCUAGUUGGUGAGGUAAUGGCUCACCAAGGCGACGAUGCGUAGCCGACCUGAGAGGGUGAUCGGCCACACUGGGACUGAGACACGGCCCAGACUCCUACGGGAGGCAGCAGUAGGGAAUCUUCCGCAAUGGACGAAAGUCUGACGGAGCAACGCCGCGUGAGUGAUGAAGGUUUUCGGAUCGUAAAGCUCUGUUGUCAGGGAAGAACAAGUGCGGGAGUCACUGCCCGCGCCUUGACGGUACCUGACCAGAAAGCCACGGCUAACUACGUGCCAGCAGCCGCGGUAAUACGUAGGUGGCAAGCGUUGUCCGGAAUUAUUGGGCGUAAAGCGCGCGCAGGCGGUCUUUUAAGUCUGAUGUGAAAGCCCCCGGCUCAACCGGGGAGGGUCAUUGGAAACUGGAGGACUUGAGUGCAGAAGAGGAGAGUGGAAUUCCACGUGUAGCGGUGAAAUGCGUAGAGAUGUGGAGGAACACCAGUGGCGAAGGCGACUCUCUGGUCUGUAACUGACGCUGAGG
RNAcentral lists this ribosomal RNA (717 nucleotides) under Bacillus sp. (in: firmicutes). RNAcentral describes it as "bacterial SSU rRNA". It matches the Rfam family "Bacterial small subunit ribosomal RNA", at positions 36 to 751 of the family's 1533-position model. Lineage: Bacteria; Bacillati; Bacillota; Bacilli; Caryophanales; Bacillaceae. The record is from RNAcentral. RNAcentral also lists the same sequence under 1 other name.